Molecule: non-coding RNA, 585 nt
Filed under: Pan troglodytes (chimpanzee)
Lineage: Eukaryota; Metazoa; Chordata; Mammalia; Primates; Hominidae
Source: RNAcentral
AAAAUGUGUCUGGAAUUGGUGAGUUCUUGGUCUUACUGACUUUAAGAAUGAAGUUGCGGACUUCUGCGAUGCCAAUAUUUUACCUCUUGGGUACUUUCUGUGUAGAAGAUUCAUAACAAGAACAAUACUUAUUCUGUAAUUCUUUAUAUAAAGCUCCAGAGGGAAGUGAGAAGGAUGUUCACUUGCUGGUGAGAGAAGGAGCUGGUUCCAUCCAUUAUGCAGUCCCCUGGGAGCGCUAAAUGCAACUUUAUCUCAAUGGGGAGUGGACGAUGAGCAGGACGUCGCUAGAGGGAAAGAGCACAAAGGAAGUAGACCAAGGAGACUGAAGGUGGUUAUGAAGACUGUGCAUCUCUGAGGACAUCUUAAACAAAGAUGACCCAAACCUUUGAUCUUCAAAUAGUCGAUGUGAACUGCUUAACAAAAUGCCCUGGGAAAACUCUGUCUGAAACAAGCAGCUUGGGGGUUUGAUUUCAUUAGUUACUGGACAAGAACUGGAAUGGAGUGAAAAAUCUUCAUUCAUUUCUUGGUCAGAUGGAGAGAGGAGAAAAAAAGAAGUGGGUUUCCAUUCACUUCCAUUUUCUAACU